GACGAACGCUGGCGGCGUGCUUAACACAUGCAAGUCGAACGCUGAUGGCCCAGCUUGCUGGGUUGGAUGAGUGGCGAACGGGUGAGUAACACGUGAGUAACCUGCCCUCUUCUUUGGGAUAACGGUCGGAAACGGCUGCUAAUACCGGGUAUUCACUGUCCUUCGCAUGGGGGGUGGUGGAAAGGUUUUUUCUGGUGGGGGAUGGGCUCGCGGCCUAUCAGCUUGUUGGUGGGGUGAUGGCUUACCAAGGCUUUGACGGGUAACCGGCCUGAGAGGGUGACCGGUCACAUUGGGACUGAGAUACGGCCCAGACUCCUACGGGAGGCAGCAGUGGGGAAUAUUGCACAAUGGGCGAAAGCCUGAUGCAGCGACGCCGCGUGAGGGAUGGAGGCCUUCGGGUUGUAAACCUCUUUCGCUCAUGGUCAAGCCGCAGCUUUGGGUUGUGGUGAGGGUAGUGGGUAAAGAAGCACCGGCUAACUACGUGCCAGCAGCCGCGGUAAUACGUAGGGUGCGAGCGUUGUCCGGAAUUAUUGGGCGUAAAGGGCUUGUAGGCGGUUUGUCGCGUCUGCCGUGAAAUCCUCUGGCUUAACUGGGGGCGUGCGGGUGGGGUACGGGCAGGCUUGAGUGCGGUAGGGGAGACUGGAACUCCUGGUGUAGCGGUGGAAUGCGCAGAUAUCAGGAAGAACACCGGUGGCGAAGGCUGGUCUCUGGGCUUUACUGACGCUGAGGAGCAAACGUGGGGGAGCGAACAGGAUUAUAUACCUCUGGUAUCCCAGGGCGAAUCCACCGUGGAUA
Molecule: ribosomal RNA, 795 nt
Filed under: uncultured Actinomyces sp.
Lineage: Bacteria; Bacillati; Actinomycetota; Actinomycetes; Actinomycetales; Actinomycetaceae
Description: bacterial SSU rRNA
Rfam family: Bacterial small subunit ribosomal RNA
Source: RNAcentral